UACGAAGGGUGCAAGCGUUACUCGGAAUUACUGGGCGUAAAGCGCGCGCAGGUGGUUUCUUAAGUCUGAUGUGAAAGCCCACGGCUCAACCGUGGAGGGUCAUUGGAAACUGGGAGACUUGAGUGCAGAAGAGGAAAGUGGAAUUCCAUGUGUAGCGGUGAAAUGCGUAGAGAUAUGGAGGAACACCAGUGGCGAAGGCGACUUUCUGGUCUGCAACUGACACUGAGGCGCGAAAGCGUGGGGAGCAAACAGG
Molecule: ribosomal RNA, 253 nt
Filed under: uncultured bacterium
Lineage: Bacteria
Description: partial 16S ribosomal RNA
Rfam family: Bacterial small subunit ribosomal RNA
Source: RNAcentral